GUCUAUAGCCAUACCACGCUGAACGCACCCAAUCUCAUUUGAUCUUGAAAGCUAAGCAGGGUUGGGCCUGGUUAGUACUUAGAAGGGACAAAUACUGGGGUUGCCAUUUCCU
Molecule: ribosomal RNA, 112 nt
Filed under: Bison bison bison
Lineage: Eukaryota; Metazoa; Chordata; Mammalia; Artiodactyla; Bovidae
Source: RNAcentral